UACGUAGGGUGCAAGCGUUGUCCGGAAUCACUGGGCGUAAAGGGCGUGUAGGCGGUCAGGUAAGUGAGAUGUGAAAUGCCCCGGCUCACCCGGGGACCGGCAUCUCAUACUGCUUGGCUUGAGUACGGGAGAGGAUGUGGGAAUUCCUGGUGUAGCGGUGAAAUGCGUAGAUAUCAGGAGGAACACCGGUGGCGAAGGCGGCUCGCUGGGACGUUACUGACACUGAGGCGCGAAAGCGUGGGGAGCGAACAGG
This 253-nucleotide ribosomal RNA is filed under the name uncultured bacterium. Its description in RNAcentral is "partial 16S ribosomal RNA". It matches the Rfam family "Bacterial small subunit ribosomal RNA", at positions 524 to 776 of the family's 1533-position model. The record is from RNAcentral.